This 908-nucleotide ribosomal RNA is filed under the name uncultured bacterium. RNAcentral describes it as "bacterial SSU rRNA". It matches the Rfam family "Bacterial small subunit ribosomal RNA", at positions 8 to 916 of the family's 1533-position model. The record is from RNAcentral.
AGAGUUUGAUCAUGGCUCAGGACGAACGCUGGCGGCGUGCCUAAUACAUGCAAGUCGAACGGGGUUGCACGGCGGAAGCCUUCGGGUGGAAGCUGUGCAGCCUAGUGGCGGACGGGUGAGUAACGCGUGGGCAACCUGCCCUCCAGCCCGGGAUAACUUCCGGAAACGGGAGCUAAUCCCGGAUGCGGAGCAAAGGACGCAUGUUUUUUGCUCGAAAGCUUCGGCGCUGGAGGAUGGGCCCGCGUCCCAUUAGCUAGUUGGUGAGGUAACGGCUCACCAAGGCGACGAUGGGUAGCCGGCCUGAGAGGGUGAUCGGCCACACUGGGACUGAGACACGGCCCAGACUCCUACGGGAGGCAGCAGUAGGGAAUCUUGCGCAAUGGGCGAAAGCCUGACGCAGCGACGCCGCGUGAGGGAAGAAGGCCUUCGGGUCGUAAACCUCUGUCCUUGGGGACGAUGAUGACGGUACCCAAGGAGGAAGCCCCGGCUAACUACGUGCCAGCAGCCGCGGUAAUACGUAGGGGGCGAGCGUUGUCCGGAAUCACUGGGCGUAAAGGGUGCGUAGGCGGCUUGGCAAGUCCUGUGUGAAAGGUCGCGGCUCAACCGCGGUGGGUCAUGGGAAACUGCCAAGCUCGAGUGCCGGAGAGGAUAGCGGAAUUCCCGGUGUAGCGGUGAAAUGCGUAGAGAUCGGGAGGAACACCAGUGGCGAAGGCGGCUAUCUGGAAGGUCACUGACGCUGAGGCACGACAGCUGGGGGAGCAAACAGGAUUAGAUACCCUGGUAGUCCCAGCCGUAAACGAUGAGUGCUAGGUGUUGCGGGUAUCGACCCCUGCAGUGCCGAAGUCAACACAAUAAGCACUCCGCCUGGGGAGUACGGCCGCAAGGCUGAAACUCAAAGGAAUUGACGG